AAAUUGAAGAGUUUGAUCAUGGCUCAGAUUGAACGCUGGCGGCAGGCCUAACACAUGCAAGUCGAGCGGAAACGAGUUAUCUGAACCUUCGGGGGACGAUAACGGCGUCGAGCGGCGGACGGGUGAGUAAUGCCUAGGAAAUUGCCCUGAUGUGGGGGAUAACCAUUGGAAACGAUGGCUAAUACCGCAUGAUGCCUACGGGCCAAAGAGGGGGACCUUCGGGCCUCUCGCGUCAGGAUAUGCCUAGGUGGGAUUAGCUAGUUGGUGAGGUAAGGGCUCACCAAGGCGACGAUCCCUAGCUGGUCUGAGAGGAUGAUCAGCCACACUGGAACUGAGACACGGUCCAGACUCCUACGGGAGGCAGCAGUGGGGAAUAUUGCACAAUGGGCGCAAGCCUGAUGCAGCCAUGCCGCGUGUAUGAAGAAGGCCUUCGGGUUGUAAAGUACUUUCAGUCGUGAGGAAGGCGUUGUCGUUAAUAGCGGCAUUGUUUGACGUUAGCGACAGAAGAAGCACCGGCUAACUCCGUGCCAGCAGCCGCGGUAAUACGGAGGGUGCGAGCGUUAAUCGGAAUUACUGGGCGUAAAGCGCAUGCAGGUGGUUUGUUAAGUCAGAUGUGAAAGCCCGGGGCUCAACCUCGGAAUAGCAUUUGAAACUGGCAGACUAGAGUACUGUAGAGGGGGGUAGAAUUUCAGGUGUAGCGGUGAAAUGCGUAGAGAUCUGAAGGAAUACCGGUGGCGAAGGCGGCCCCCUGGACAGAUACUGACACUCAGAUGCGAAAGCGUGGGGAGCAAACAGGAUUAGAUACCCUGGUAGUCCACGCCGUAAACGAUGUCUACUUGGAGGUUGUGGCCUUGAGCCGUGGCUUUCGGAGCUAACGCGUUAAGUAGACCGCCUGGGGAGUACGGUCGCAAGAUUAAAACUCAAAUGAAUUGACGGGGGCCCGCACAAGCGGUGGAGCAUGUGGUUUAAUUCGAUGCAACGCGAAGAACCUUACCUACUCUUGACAUCCAGAGAACUUUCCAGAGAUGGAUUGGUGCCUUCGGGAACUCUGAGACAGGUGCUGCAUGGCUGUCGUCAGCUCGUGUUGUGAAAUGUUGGGUUAAGUCCCGCAACGAGCGCAACCCUUAUCCUUGUUUGCCAGCGAGUAAUGUCGGGAACUCCAGGGAGACUGCCGGUGAUAAACCGGAGGAAGGUGGGGACGACGUCAAGUCAUCAUGGCCCUUACGAGUAGGGCUACACACGUGCUACAAUGGCGCAUACAGAGGGCGGCCAACUUGCGAAAGUGAGCGAAUCCCAAAAAGUGCGUCGUAGUCCGGAUUGGAGUCUGCAACUCGACUCCAUGAAGUCGGAAUCGCUAGUAAUCGUGGAUCAGAAUGCCACGGUGAAUACGUUCCCGGGCCUUGUACACACCGCCCGUCACACCAUGGGAGUGGGCUGCAAAAGAAGUAGGUAGUUUAACCUUCGGGGGGACGCUUACCACUUUGUGGUUCAUGACUGGGGUGAAGUCGUAACAAGGUAGCGCUAGGGGAACCUGGCGCUGGAUCACCUCCUUAAACGAUGAU
RNAcentral lists this ribosomal RNA (1562 nucleotides) under Vibrio diabolicus. RNAcentral's name for it is "bacterial SSU rRNA". It matches the Rfam family "Bacterial small subunit ribosomal RNA". The record is from RNAcentral. Lineage: Bacteria; Pseudomonadati; Pseudomonadota; Gammaproteobacteria; Vibrionales; Vibrionaceae.